UUUUGGUCAGGGUUUCAGAGUUAUAUUUCGGGUUUUGCAAGUUUGAUGGUGAUGAUGCUUGAUUAACUAAGACUUGAUGUUUAUGCUAUAUAAUUGAUUAGUUGUAGUGAUUAUGGCUGAGAAUUGAAUUGAUUAUAAUGAGUGUGAGAGUUGUUCUUGAUUAGGGUUCAUGAGCUAAUUUAGAGAUUUAAUUGGGGUUUUGGUUGUUUGAUUGUUGUAGUGUAAUUGUAAGCUUGUAAUGAAGGUUAUGGAUGAUGAAAUUGGAGCUUUAAACCUACGGCAAUAGAGACAUCAUCAAGACUCGACGAAGCGACUAUCGACAAGGCUCGAUGGGAACGGAUCGAGAUGUCUUCGUGUUUAUUUGAAGAAUUUGGAUAGCAAGUGGGAUGGUAUGAUAUGAUUUGAAGAGUUAAGCUUCCGAAGUUUUAAUUCUCGGAAGUCAUUUGCACAAGAAGUAAAAAAAGGUUUUCAUUCUAGCGGUCUGCAGUAGUCUAGAUGUUUUUGUCUAUGUAUUUAUCUAGCGGAUUUUAACUCUGAUAUUUUUGUAAAAUGGGGUCACGUGUUUUUUUUAUAAAUGAAAAAUGAUUUGAUUUGCGAAAAAUUUACACAGAAUUUUAGGCUUGCUACGGGUUUCGGAGCUACCACUCCCAUUCCCUAGCGCCGGUCGCGGCUCAUUAUUUUGGGUCGUGACAAAGGUGGUAUCAGAGCAAUGGUUUAGAUUCAUAGGCCAUUGCCUGUAUACGAUUGAUGUCUGUAGUUCCUAGGUAUGAUGUCACUAGGUUAAGCUAAGAACUACUGCGGAUUAUAGGAAUUUCCAGUCAUGUCUUUUGAACGUUAUCAUCUUUUUCAUCGAUUUUUCAAUCAUUUUACAAAGACGUCCCUUCCUAUAUGUGCUAUUAGGAGUCGAGUUAGGAAUGUGCAUGAGCACAAUUUAUGUUUUGUGUUUACUCGAGUAAGCAAUACGCUUUCGAGUAUCUAUAGUCUGCGAAGAGUUAUAUACUCUCGAGACUCAUAUGAUAGAAGAAUAUUGUUAUGGACUAUGAUUGAAUUGAUUGAUUGGAUAUUA
Molecule: long non-coding RNA, 1066 nt
Organism: Mercurialis annua (annual mercury)
Lineage: Eukaryota; Viridiplantae; Streptophyta; Magnoliopsida; Malpighiales; Euphorbiaceae
Exons: 3
Source: RefSeq, a predicted model, not a curated record